GAGUUUGAUCAUGGCUCAGAUUGAACGCUGGCGGCAGGCCUAACACAUGCAAGUCGAGCGGAUGACGGGAGCUUGCUCCUUGAUUCAGCGGCGGACGGGUGAGUAAUGCCUAGGAAUCUGCCUGGUAGUGGGGGACAACGUUUCGAAAGGAACGCUAAUACCGCAUACGUCCUACGGGAGAAAGCAGGGGACCUUCGGGCCUUGCGCUAUCAGAUGAGCCUAGGUCGGAUUAGCUAGUUGGUGGGGUAAUGGCUCACCAAGGCGACGAUCCGUAACUGGUCCGAGAGGAUGAUCAGUCACACUGGAACUGAGACACGGUCCAGACUCCUACGGGAGGCAGCAGUGGGGAAUAUUGGACAAUGGGCGAAAGCCUGAUCCAGCCAUGCCGCGUGUGUGAAGAAGGUCUUCGGAUUGUAAAGCACUUUAAGUUGGGAGGAAGGGCAGUAAGUUAAUACCUUGCUGUUUUGACGUUACCGACAGAAUAAGCACCGGCUAACUCUGUGCCAGCCGCCGACGG
RNAcentral lists this ribosomal RNA (517 nucleotides) under bacterium enrichment culture clone ALO1_GLFRUDD03FKOSL. RNAcentral's name for it is "bacterial SSU rRNA". It matches the Rfam family "Bacterial small subunit ribosomal RNA", at positions 9 to 520 of the family's 1533-position model. The record is from RNAcentral.